UUGCUGUUUCCAAGUGGCUGGGCAGAUUGUGAACUGUGUUCAUUCUAUUUACUUGGGUCUACAUGUUGCUUAAACAGGAGCAUUAUGAAGCUGGCAUCUGAGACACUUUCUAUUGGACCAUUUCCAGUGUUUGCAGAAGGAUGGAUUCAGUUUUGUAAGGGAAAUGGAAUUCUUCAUGUCUGGAAGAGACACAAAAAUGGAAAAUUCAAUUGAAAAUAAUCACCAUAAAUAAUAAACUGGAGUACUGUGUCCA
This 253-nucleotide long non-coding RNA is filed under the name Crocodylus porosus (Australian saltwater crocodile). RNAcentral describes it as "lncRNA (ENSCPRG00005015939.1)". Lineage: Eukaryota; Metazoa; Chordata; Crocodylia; Crocodylidae. The record is from RNAcentral.